Rattus rattus (black rat) is the source of this 4226-nucleotide RNA transcript. It is a transcript of the gene named zinc finger protein 260-like, with no coding region annotated. The transcript is spliced from 3 exons. NCBI's taxonomy places the organism in Eukaryota, Metazoa, Chordata, Mammalia, Rodentia, Muridae. The record is from RefSeq and is a predicted model, not a curated record.
UGUAUUAAUUUCAGCUUUGUAGUUUUCAAACCUGGUUGUGAAAUUUCAAGAACACUUCCAAUAUUUGAAUCUGUGAGAAGAACAACAAAAAGAAUGAGUGUGGCUCUGGGAAACACUCUACAGGGUUUCUUAACCUUCAAGGAUGUGGCUCCAGAGUUCACACUAGAGGAAUGGGAAAGUCUCAAUUAUGCUCAGCGGGCACUGUACAUGGAUGUGAUUUUGGAGACGUACAACAAUCUAUUGUCUGUGGAAAAUAAUCUGAUAGGUGGAAAACAUGGGAAUGUCUUGGAACAAGACACAGAGUGCAUUGUCCAUGAGCAUAUGAAUAUCCAAAAGAAGUUUUGUAAAUGGGAUGAAAUUAGCAAAAUGACUCUUGAAUCCACCCAAAGUACACCCUAUAAGACUCAUCUCCGAGAUUCCUCUCUUCAGUCCUCAAACCUGAAAAGACAUAAAGCUGGCAAAAUGAGAGAAGUUUACAAAUAUAGAGACUGUGUACAGUUUUCAAAUGAAUGUGCUAUCAUUGGUGUAAAUUCUGGAAUCCACAUAGAGAACAAAGAACACAAAAAUACAGAAUUUGAUAAGGAUUUUGUCUAUAAACAUAAACUGAUGCUGAAACAAGACAUUAAUGGUAAGAACCUUCACCAAUGUAGUACAUGCAAUAAAUGCUUUUCCAGAAAAGGGAAUCUUCAUUUGCAUCAAAGAAUUCAUUCAGGAGAGAAACCUUACAAAUGUAGUCAAUGUGACAAAUAUUUUGCCCAACAAUCGUGUCUUAUGCGUCAUCAAAGAAGCCAUUCAGGAGAGAAACCAUACAAAUGCAACCAAUGUGACAAAUUCUUUGCCCAAGUGUCCCAUCUUAGUAUUCAUCAGAGAAUUCAUACAGGAGAGAAACCUUUCAAAUGCAGUGAAUGUGACAAAUGCUUUACUAUAAAAAUAAACUAAUGAGAAACCAUAAAAUUCAUACAGGAGAGAAACCUUACCAAUGUAGUAAAUGUGACAAAUGCUUUGGCAGAAAAUCCCAAUCUUCAAAUUUGCAUCAGAGAAUUCAUACAGGAGAAAACCAUACAAAUGUAGUGAAUGUGACAAAUAUUUUACUGAAAAUCCCUGGCUUAUUCAUCAAAGAAUUCAUACAGGAGAGAAACCUUUCAUAUGCAGUAAAUGUGACAAAUGCUUUGCCUACAAAGAGAGUCUUAGUAUUCAUCAGAGAAUUCAUACAGGAGAGAAACUUACAAAUGCAGUGAAUGUGACAAAUGCUUUCACAAAUCCAGUCUGAGUAUACAUCAGAGAAUUCAUACAGGAGAUAAACCAUACAAAUGCAGUGAAUGUGACAAAUGCUUUGGCUACAAAGGCAGUCUGAAAAUUCAUCAGAGAAUUCAUACAGGAGAGAAACCAUACAAAUGCAGUGAAUGUGAUAAAUACUUUAGCCAGCAAUCCAAUCUUAGUAUUCAUCAGAGAAUUCAUACAGGAGAGAAACCUUACAAAUGCAGUGAAUGUGACAAAUGCUUUGGCUACAAAGGCAGUCUGAGGAUUCAUCAGAGAGUUCAUACAGGAGAGAAACCAUACAAAUGCAGUGAAUGUGACAAAUGCUUUGCCUACCAAUCCAAUCUUACUAUUCAUCAGAGAAUUCAUAUAGGAGAUAAACCUUACAAAUGCAGUAAAUGUGACAAAUGGUUUGGCCACAGAGUUAGUUUGAGAAUUCAUCAGAGAAUUUGUACAGGAGAGAAACCAAACAAAUGUGGUUAAUAUGACAAAUGCUUUACCCAAAACUACAGUGUUUGUGUACAUCAGAGACUUCAUACGGGAGAGAAACUUUACAAAUGUGGUGAAUGUGACAUAUGCUUUGGCCGACAGUCUCAUCUUAGUAUUCAUCAGAGAAUUCAUUUAGGACAAAAACCUUUCAAAUUUCCUUUAUGUGGGAAAUGCUUUACCCACUAAGUCUUAAUUCAUCAGAGAAUUCAUACUGGAGAGAAACAAUGUAAGUGAACUGAAUGUGACAAAUCUUUUACUCACAAAGUUACUUUGACGAUUGUUCAGAGAAUUCAUCCAGGAGAAUAAAUUUACAAAUGUGUGACAAAUACUUUACCCUGAAAUGCAGUCUUCAUGUACAUUAGAGACUUCAUAGAGGAGAGAAACCUUACAAAUGCAGUGAAUGUGACAAAUGCUUUACCCAAAUGUUAGCCUAGAAAGGCAUCAGAGAUUUCAUACAUGAGAUAAUACUACUUGCAAGUGUGAUGUACAUGAAAAAUGCAUUAACUACAAUGUAAGUCUGACAUUACAUACAGUGGAGAAACAUUAUAAAUUUAGUCAAUAAAACAAUUCUUUACCUGCAAAUAUCGUCUUAAAAUUCAUUAGAUAAUACUUAAAGUAGAGAAAAUUUCAAAUGUUUUAGAGAUGUGAAUCUUUUCUUUUGGCCUAUCUUUUAGAAUUUACAGAAUAUGUACAUGUGACAAUCUGAAGAAAUAUAAUUUAUUUGGAAAUAUCUUUGACUUCAUUUCAGGUCAGAGAAAACGUUUUAAAUUUUUUUGUGCGGAAGUAUAUCUUGCAAAAAUUGAGCUUCCACACUAGAGAAUUUGUAUGAUUAUGAAAACUUCAGAAACCUUCAUGCAGUGUUCAAAUCUUAGAAAAUGUCAGGUAUUUAUGGUGAGAAAAACUCUGAAAAUAUGACAAUGUAGGAAAGUUUUCAUUAAACUUUUACCUGUUCACCCUGAAAUAUUCCAAGAUGAAGACAUGUGGGGAAGCCAGAAUAAUAUAGUGUUGUGUAACACUUUCAUGGCAACAGAAAUUAUCUAUUUCAAAGGAACUUCACCUCUCAAAAUGUCUAAUAAAACUGUCAGGAUUCUGUAUAUUCAAGUGAUCAAUUCAGACAAAUUAUACUUAAAAAGGUUUAUUUGACAAACUCAGAUACCAAAACUGUUUGUUCUUUAUCCUAUAAAUAUGUCUACAGAUGUUAAGUCUCCUUUGACAAUCCAGUACUCAUAAUUCUUAUUAAAUGCUGGUUUCAUGUUUGAGGAUAACGACUGAGACUGAUUAUGUGUCCUUGUGCUGUGUGGUCAACAACUCCUUCCCCAUUGUCCUGUAAAUAAAUGUGAAUGAUUCCCCAAGUUUGAUUUGGUUGUUUUAAGUUCAUACUUGGGAUCCUUAGAUGAAUAUAUGUUCCAUCUUCCUAGGAAAUGUCUCUCAUAAAAUAUAUGCUGAAGUCAUGAAUAUUUUCUACAAUCCCAUAACAUAAACGUUGUAGUAGUGAUUUUCAGUGGGUGGAUAUCAACCACUUUGGUUGCAGUGAUCGCUCUGUCAUAGGGGUUGCUUAAGAUCAUAGAAAACAUGUACUUAUGAUGGUCUUAGAACUGAGAAAUCAUUCAACUCCAAGUUAUUCUGCCCACAUUAGAAUUAUUUGAAUUGUAUGUCAGUGUUUAGCAUCAGAAACAUUAGAAACACUGUAUUAGAGAUUAUGAUUUGUGUUAACUAAAGUAGGGAUGAUUCUGUUCAAUAUCCAGGUUUACUGCCAUAGUAUUACUAGGUUAAUUUAAAAAGACUUGAAUCAGAAAACAUGUAGAGGCUUACAGAGACUCAACAAUUAGUCUGCACUCUUUCCUGAAUACAAGAAAAUAUGAGAGAAAAGUCAACAAGAAAGUAAAUGAAAAUAUGGCUUCAUCAUCUUCAGGUAUAGCCAUCCAGACUGUGAUGUGUCUCUGCAUGGCUCUGAAGUCAUUAGUACCCCUUAAUUGAACAAAACUCCAGUAACUUUCAGAACAAUGCUACACACUGACACAUAUUACAGAUCAUUGUUAUCCUAUCCUGUUGCACCUGAAUAUUCCACUGUACCAAAAGGAACAAAUCAGAUUUUCAUUCUUUUUCUAUUAAAACUACCUUUAUUUAAUCUUUUCCAGUUACAUUCUUUUAAACAAGGCUGUGUUUAAAAGACAUUCAGGCAAUGUUGAUUUCAUUAAUGGUGCCAGAAAAUAAGCAUAAAAAUGUAAAACAUAGUUGCCUUAACCUGAACAUACCUGCAUUACCUAUUACUGACCAGUCUGUGCCAAAGAUUUAUUCUCUGGCACUAAAAUGGAGCACUUAAAAAUAUUGCUGUAAAGCAAAUGUCUACACACUGGGCUUUGCAGCAAAUAAAGUUAUUCCUACUUUAAAAUAUUUAAGUCCAUAAUUGGAUGAAUAUACACGCCUUCUUACAUAUAAGGAGUUCAGAUCAUAAAAACACAAUACAGUCCAAAAAAAAA